This 253-nucleotide ribosomal RNA is filed under the name uncultured bacterium. RNAcentral describes it as "partial 16S ribosomal RNA". It matches the Rfam family "Bacterial small subunit ribosomal RNA", at positions 524 to 776 of the family's 1533-position model. The record is from RNAcentral.
UACGGAGGGUGCAAGCGUUAAUCGGAAUUACUGGGCGUAAAGCGCACGUAGGCGGUGUAUUAAGUCGGAUGUGAAAGCCCCGAGCUUAACUUGGGAACUGCAUUCGAAACUGGCUGGCUAGAGUCUGGUAGAGGGGGGUGGAAUUCCCUGUGUAGCGGUGAAAUGCGUAGAUAUGGGGAGGAACACCAGUGGCGAAGGCGACCCCCUGGACAAAGACUGACGCUGAGGUGCGAAAGCGUGGGGAGCAAACAGG